GAUAAUGUAGCGUAAUCAAUAGCCAAUUAAUUGUUGGCCGGUAUGAAUGGCAUCACGAAGGCCCCACUGUCUUAAGAGGACUCUCCAUGAAAUUGAAUUCGUAGUGAAGAUGCUACGUCCAUAUUGUAAGACGAAAAGACCCCAUUGAGCUUUACUAAAGACUUGUAUAGCUCGAAAUAACUUAAAUAAAAAGUUUAGAUAAUGUGGGAUCCGUUUUUGGUUAAUGAAACACCACUCUUUUAUUUUAAGAGAGCUAACCUUGUAGGGAGAAUGCAAGUUGGAUAGUUUGGUUGGGGCGACCACCUUUUAAAAGGUAACGAAGGUGAGCUUAAGGUCCGUAGUUAAUAGCUAGUGGCCUGACUGCAAGGGGGACAUCCCGAGCAGACACUGGUAAUCUCUCAGUGGGUUAUAGUGACCCGUCAUCUUAGAGUGGAAUAGUUGACGAUCAACGAAUAAAA
Molecule: ribosomal RNA, 458 nt
Rfam family: Bacterial large subunit ribosomal RNA